UCCGAGUUGACCCCGCUUUCACGAGGAUUUCACCAGGAUGUCAAGCCCAGGUAAGGUUCUUCGCGUUGCUUCGAAUUAAACCACAUGCUCCACCGCUUGUGCGGGCCCCCGUCAAUUCCUUUGAGUUUCAGCCUUGCGGCCGUACUCCCCAGGCGGGGCACUUAUCGCGUUAGCUGCGACACGGAGAGGGUCGAUCCCCCCCGCGUCUAGUGCCCAUCGUUUACGGCGUGGACUAC
Molecule: unclassified non-coding RNA, 236 nt
Filed under: uncultured Gemmatimonadota bacterium
Lineage: Bacteria; Pseudomonadati; Gemmatimonadota
Description: uncultured Gemmatimonadetes bacterium contains 16S-23S intergenic spacer region
Source: RNAcentral